UGUCUUUCUGUGUGUGUCUGUGUAUGUAAUGGUGUGUCUCUGUGGCGGGGAGGGGCUGCGUGUGAUUGUGUGUCUGUGUGUGUCUUUCUGUGUAUGUGUGUGUAAUGGUGUGUUUCUGUGGCCGGAAGGGCGUAUCUGCGAUUGCGUGUCUGUGUAUGUAAUGGUGUGUCUCUGUGGCGGGGAGGGUGUGUGUGUGAUUUUGUGUCUGUGUCUUUCUGUGUGUGUCUGUGUAUGUAAUGGUGUCUCUGUGGCGGGGAGGGUGUGUGUGUGAUUUUGUGUCUGUGUGUGUCUUUCUGUGUGUGUCUGUGUAUGUAAUGGUGUCUCUGUGGUGGGGAGGGGGUGUGUGUGAUUUGAGGUGGGGACGGGGCCUAGGCUUCAGUUACUCACAACAGGACGGACAAAGGAAACAGAGUUUACCCGUUCUGCUAAAACCAAGGGCGGGAGGGGGACGGGGCUGCCGGCAGCCCUCCCAGAGCCCCUGGCAGCCGCUCACGGGUUCCGGACC
Molecule: long non-coding RNA, 505 nt
Filed under: Homo sapiens (human)
Lineage: Eukaryota; Metazoa; Chordata; Mammalia; Primates; Hominidae
Description: HSALNT0156396
Source: RNAcentral